This 446-nucleotide ribosomal RNA is filed under the name uncultured bacterium. RNAcentral describes it as "bacterial SSU rRNA". It matches the Rfam family "Bacterial small subunit ribosomal RNA", at positions 29 to 524 of the family's 1533-position model. The record is from RNAcentral.
AGCGAACGCUGGCGGCAGGCCUAACACAUGCAAGUCGAGCGCCCGUAGCAAUACGGGAGCGGCAGACGGGAGAGUAACACGUGGGAACGUGCCCUUCAGUUCGGAACAACCCAGGGAAACUUGGGCUAAUACCGGAUACGCCCUUACGGGAAGAUUUAUCGCUGAGGAGCGGCCCGCGUCUGAUUAGCUAGUUGGUGAGGUAACGGCUCACCAAGGCGACGAUCAGUAGCUGGUCUGAGAGGAUGAUCAGCCUCACUGGGACUGAGACACGGCCCAGACUCCUACGGGAGGCAGCAGUGGGGAAUAUUGGACAAUGGGCGCAAGCCUGAUCCAGCCAUGCCGCGUGGGUGAUGAAGGCCCUAGGGUUGUAAAGCCCUUUCGGCGGGAAGAUAAUGACGGUACCGCAGAAGAAGCCCCGCUAACUUCGUGCCAGCCGCCGCUGUAAU